RNAcentral lists this ribosomal RNA (1343 nucleotides) under uncultured bacterium. RNAcentral's name for it is "16S ribosomal RNA". It matches the Rfam family "Bacterial small subunit ribosomal RNA", at positions 28 to 1378 of the family's 1533-position model. The record is from RNAcentral.
GACGAACGCUGGCGGCGUGCUUAACACAUGCAAGUCGAACGGAAAGGCCCUGCUUUUGUGGGGUGCUCGAGUGGCGAACGGGUGAGUAACACGUGAGUAACCUACCCUUGACUUUGGGAUAACUUCAGGAAACUGGGGCUAAUACCGGAUAGGAGCUCCUGCUGCAUGGUGGGGGUUGGAAAGUUUCGGCGGUUGGGGAUGGACUCGCGGCUUAUCAGCUUGUUGGUGGGGUAGUGGCUUACCAAGGCUUUGACGGGUAGCCGGCCUGAGAGGGUGACCGGCCACAUUGGGACUGAGAUACGGCCCAGACUCCUACGGGAGGCAGCAGUGGGGAAUAUUGCACAAUGGGCGGAAGCCUGAUGCAGCAACGCCGCGUGCGGGAUGACGGCCUUCGGGUUGUAAACCGCUUUCGCCUGUGACGAAGCGUGAGUGACGGUAAUGGGUAAAGAAGCACCGGCUAACUACGUGCCAGCAGCCGCGGUGAUACGUAGGGUGCGAGCGUUGUCCGGAUUUAUUGGGCGUAAAGGGCUCGUAGGUGGUUGAUCGCGUCGGAAGUGUAAUCUUGGGGCUUAACCCUGAGCGUGCUUACGAUACGGGUUGACUUGAGGAAGGUAGGGGAGAAUGGAAUUCCUGGUGGAGCGGUGGAAUGCGCAGAUAUCAGGAGGAACACCAGUGGCGAAGGCGGUUCUCUGGGCCUUUCCUGACGCUGAGGAGCGAAAGCGUGGGGAGCGAACAGGCUUAGAUACCCUGGUAGUCCACGCUGUAAACGGUGGGUGCUAGGUGUGGGGUCCAUUCCACGGGUCCCGUGCCGUAGCUAACGCUUUAAGUACCCCGCCUGGGGAGUACGGCCGCAAGGCUAAAACUCAAAGGAAUUGACGGGGCCCCGCACAAGCGGCGGAGCAUGCGGAUUAAUUCGAUGCAACGCGUAGAACCUUACCUGGGUUUGACAUGGAUCGGGAGUGCUCAGAGAUGGGUGUGCCUCUUUUGGGGUCGGUUCACAGGUGGUGCAUGGCUGUCGUCAGCUCGUGUCGUGAGAUGUUGGGUUAAGUCCCGCAACGAGCGCAACCCUUGUUCACUGUUGCCAGCACGUUAUGGUGGGGACUCAGUGGAGACCGCCGGGGUCAACUCGGAGGAAGGUGGGGAUGACGUCAAGUCAUCAUGCCCCUUAUGUCCAGGGCUUCACGCAUGCUACAAUGGCUGGUACAGAGAGUGGCGAGCCUGUGAGGGUGAGCGAAUCUCGGAAAGCCGGUCUCAGUUCGGAUUGGGGUCUGCAACUCGACCUCAUGAAGUCGGAGUCGCUAGUAAUCGCAGAUCAGCAACGCUGCGGUGAAUACGUUCCCGGG